GGAGAGCUGGCAGAGCGGUUGAAUGCGGCGGUCUUGAAAACCGUUAUAUCCUCACGGGUAUCCGGGGUUCGAAUCCCUGGCUCUCCGCCA
This 90-nucleotide transfer RNA is filed under the name Chlorobiota bacterium. RNAcentral's name for it is "Chlorobi bacterium tRNA-Ser". It matches the Rfam family "tRNA". Rfam says of the family: Transfer RNA (tRNA) molecules are approximately 80 nucleotides in length. Their secondary structure includes four short double-helical elements and three loops (D, anti-codon, and T loops). The record is from RNAcentral. Lineage: Bacteria; Pseudomonadati; Chlorobiota. RNAcentral also lists the same sequence under 1 other name.